AUCUCAUCUUGCUUUCUGCUAUAUGUUAUCUGCAUUCUCUGUUGAUAUUUGUGGGUAAGGUAUAUUUUCCAUCUUACACUUACAGGAUUUUCCAUCAGAAGUUAGACAACAGGGUGCAGACUAAUGACCGGGAGGCCCUUACUGGGUUAUCAUAGUAGGCAAACAAGGAGAAAAAAAUGAAAGCAAAAGAUAAGGCUAUGCAGUUUGAAUUUCUUUGACAUACAUGACUUAGGUAUUUACGAGAAUAUUUUGUAGUACAGUACACUAAUUGUAUUGUUUCAUAACCUCUCAAAGAAAGGCAACUGUAACAUGGGACACUGCAAAUAGCUUGCUAUUCAUUUAUUUAUUUUUUCGGAAAAAAUGGGUUGAAUGUAAUGAAGAAAGAUCAAAGUUUUAUUUUAUUUUUUUUUAAAGCAUGAGUACAUGUUUAAUUUAUCAGAUAUAGAUUAAAUAUUGAUUUCAUUUAUUAUAUAUUGCAAUAAAAGUACUAAAUCAAAUACAAGUACUCUGAAGCAAUAUGAAUUUCAAAGGAAAGUGCUUGCUUUACCUCUGAAGAAUAUCUGAAGUUGGAAGUUUGUUUACAUUUUUAUUUGAUUCAUCUGCACAGUUUUGCUGCUGUGAGUGUGCAGAAUCCAGUAAUGUCCACCAGAUCAUGUGCAGAAGUCAGCAGUCAAUAUGUUUUUGCAGGGUGAGAACCUUCUUGUUAUCAUUUUUAUCUCAAUUUAAUCAAAUCUGGUGUUUUUUAACAGCAUUUACAGACAGUAGGAGAGAGAAAUAAUGCAAUUGUGUAAAACAUCACUUAACUUUGCAGAAGUUUGUAGCUGAUUUCUCUGUGGCUGCGUGAUAUUCCAUUCCAGAGGAUGACUUAAAGCAGAGUUUUGGUUUUAAUCAUGUACUCCCUCUUUGAUUGCGUGAAGACACAACUCUUCCCCUGGUUUGAAUUGUGAUUAGUAGCUACUGAGCAGUUAGCAGAGGUGCACAUUAGAAAAUAGAAAGUUGUGGGGGGACAGUAUCUGAAAUGCACUGAUCUAAGAGUGAAAUAAUUGAUGCUUUUAUGGCUCAUUGCUUCUUUAACAUCAACUAAAGAUAGAAAGCAAUUACAAUAUUUUACAGAAAAGAUCAUGGCAUUAGUACUCAUGCUAAUAUUUACCCUCCGAGUAACUCUUCCUUUUUGUUCCACCUUUUCUGAGAUGGAGGAAAGGACUGCGUGCAGUUUGCUGCGCAGGCGCUGUGGAGAGGCAGCAGGAUGCAGAACAGAGACGAAGUAAAGAAUAAAGGCAGAUUUUCAUGACUGAGGAGCCCUUGAAGUCAGUGGCAGCUGAAGCACAGGUACCUCAUGAGUUGGAUUUGUUUUUGUUGAGUGCACCACUUCAGAGGAUGUCAUUCACAUGAGCAGGUAUCAUUGCAAACCUUGUCCAUUUUCAGCAUCCAUGUGGUCAUCUCUUGUGGAGCUCUGCAAUUCUACUCCAUAGACAAAAUGAAUAAUUGGACAUGUAAUUCCAGGCUUCACUGUCUGGAAGAACAGAGCUUGUUUCCUAAGCAGUAUGCUGCAGAAGAACAUCAAACCAUUACUGAUUCUUCAAUAUCACUGGCUGUAUGAUGUGCUCAGCACAUUUCUCAAGAGGAUAAUGAAUGAUUCAGCUCAGCUGGAUCCAGUUUACUGCUCUCCAAGGGGACCAAGGACAGCACCCUGCCCACUUGGACACCUAGACUUUCUGGCUUGGCUGCACAUCAGCACUUCUAAUUGAAAGAGCUGCGGGUGCUUUUACUACUGUUUUGUUAUUGUAAGAAAGGAAGGUUGUGAGAUUGCUGUAGGUAUUGAAUGAGAUGUAAUUUUCCAAUAUUGCUUUUUCUAGACUGUUUUCUUAACCUAACCCAGGGUCUCUAUCACUCCCUGUGAUGCUAAGCUACAUGCAUACUGCUGAAUGACUGUCCCCUGUGCUUCUUCUUCAGGGAGGCCCAGUUUGCUUCUGUUCCUCAGCCCAGAGGUGAUUAGGAAAGCUUUCUUACACCAUAUGUCUUUGCCAUUGCCCUGUGCAGUGUCCUGUUAGUGCAGGCAUGAGAAAACGUAAGACUAUAACAGCAAUUACUUUAAUUUAUGUGUGAACACAUUAAUGGGAGUAUGAGUUCAGGCUUAGUCAUGGUAAGUUGUUAAACCUUCUAAACAACAACAAGAUCAAGCACUGAACAGUGCUGAGGCUGUACCAUUUCCUCCCCUGCAAUGAAAUCCUCCAUUUCUAUUACUAUUUUGCAUCUGUUUAUUGAUGUCAAGUAUGAUACAGACCCAGGCUGACGGCAGGGAAGAGAGCAGCAGUCACAUGGACAUAAUCUCGUCAUGUAAUGUGAGCACAUCCACUCCUGAGACAGUGGUGGCCUCUUACCUCCCACAUCUGGAGGAAUCUCCUGAAAAUCUGUAGUUUUAGAAUUGUCAUGAGACCUUUGGGGUGACUUAUAUAGCUGACUUGGCUUUUACGGUACCCUUUUAAUUGCAUGGAGAAAGAAAGACUGUGGUGUGGAGCAGGUGGGGGCCUCUCCAUCACUGCUCUGCCUGGGGUUCCACAUGCUCUGAGCACCUGCCUAACAUUUGGUUAGCAAUUUUAGGAAAAGGACUAUUCACUGCAUAUUUCUAGAAAUCAAGACGGUGUAAACAUUUUCCCUAGAUGAAUGAAAACCAGAUGUCAAGUCAUUGUCCAUUUUUUCUUCUGGAUUUCUGUGUAGUUACAGCUGGUACCAGCUGGCAACUGGGGACAGGUGGGCAAACAGGCAGAAGACAACUGCCUGAGUGCCUGGGAUUGCUCCACCUGCCAGUGCCUGAUGCAGCCAGCAGCUGCCGGACACUUGAUAACUCUGUCCCAUGUUUAGGAACAAAGCAAUGGCUGUAUCUUGUCUGUUUUGAAACACAAAGCUUGAAAUCCUGGGCUAAGAGAAUAAACGGCACAACUGUUGACAACUGUUGCUCUUUCCAUGACUUUAAUCUCAGAUGGGAAAUGUGUCUCAGAGGACAUAAAUAAAGGGGCUCCUAAGGUAGAAUAGAGUUGUUGAAAACUUCCUAUUUUAAUAAAGCUUUGAUGUCACUGAAGGUUUGUGUGAAAGAAUAGCUUAUGGAAAAGUUUUGAAAAUGUUAAUGCUCUCAAUACAGUCAUUUUUGGAAUAAAACAUUUCAAUUUUUGACUUUGAAAUGAUAGGUUGAGUCAACUUAAAUACAUCCCAUAAAAAUUCAUUAGUCAAAAUAAAAUUAAAGGAAAAUAUUUCCAUUAAUCAGAAAUUUGCAUUUGCCUCUAAAAUUUUCCUGUGGGAAAAUUUAAGUCUUUGGAUAUAGUUUUAGCUUGGAAAUUUCAAAAUCUUCAUGAAAAAAGUCUUCUCCCAAGCAUCUGUACCAGAAAGCUGCACAUUUUCAGAAAUAUUUACAAAGGCAGCAUGAAAUGAGGAAGUUCAGCACAGUCAAAAAGCCAGAAUGGAUUUACUGUGGGCCCUUUGGUGUCAGAUAAAUCACUCCACCAUGUAGCACUCCUACAAAGCCUGACUGGCUGGCAAAUUUCUUGUUCUACAAUGUUAAUAAAUGGAAAUGAUGACUGUUUAAAUGGAUAAUGCUUAUAUUUUUAAAAUUGAAUUACAUGGCAUGAGCUGAUCAAAAGCGUUUAUCUACAAUUUCCUUCUACGCAUUUAAUUAGUAUUAUUUUUUUAUUACUGUAAAUUCUGUACUGGGCAUGGAUCCUAACAGUAAUUGGCUUUUAUAGGAAACAAAAUCAGAGGAUACGUGAGCAAUACAGACUGUGCCAUCAUUAUGUACCAGGUAGCAAGGGGAAGGAUUUACAUAUACCAUACAUUCACUCAAAAUUCACUUAUUUGCUGCUUUAAUUAUUAUUAUUUUAGGAAAAAUUUCUUCUCUGAAAGUGUGGUCAGAUGCUGGAAUGGGCAGCCCAGGGAGGUGGUGGAGUUACCAUCCCUGGAGCUGCAGAUGUUGUACUAAGGGGCAUACUUUAGUGGGGAAAUAGUGGUGGUAGGUGGAUAGUUGGACUGGAUGAUCUUGGAGGUCUUCUCCAACCUUGGUGAUUCUAUGAUUUAUUCAUUCAUUUAUUUAUUGUAAGACAUUCACGCAUUUCAAAUGUUUUCUUAGUCAGUUUAUAUAGCAUCAGGCAAACACUCCAGUAAUGAUUUUAGUAUCAAGUCAGCUCCAAAGGAUUGUAUUUAGUAUUGCAUAUAAUCAGUCUUUAAGUACACUGCAAAUACAGGAAGUGUCCGUAUUGACUUGUGUGAUUGUAAUCUCUAUAGCUCUGUGGUUUCACUAGCAUCAUGAUUCCUUUGAAUGUAUUUAUGAUGCUGUUCUCUGUGUGUCAUGAGUAUUUGUGUUAGUGUAACACAAUAAAUUGCUAGCAAGAAUCUUCACGGCUGUGGGUCUUAACUUGCUACAAAUACUGAGCAGGUAUUUGUUGUUUCAGAGAAUGAAUUCCAUAAACACCCUCAUGAGUAAACUUUUU
Coturnix japonica (Japanese quail) is the source of this 4478-nucleotide non-coding RNA. The record is from RefSeq and is a predicted model, not a curated record. Lineage: Eukaryota; Metazoa; Chordata; Aves; Galliformes; Phasianidae.